This 397-nucleotide ribosomal RNA is filed under the name uncultured bacterium. Its description in RNAcentral is "partial 16S ribosomal RNA". It matches the Rfam family "Bacterial small subunit ribosomal RNA", at positions 523 to 918 of the family's 1533-position model. The record is from RNAcentral.
AUACGUAGGUGACAAGCGUUAUCCGGAUUUACUGGGCGUAAAGGGCGUGUAGGCGGUCUUGCAAGUCAGAAGUGAAAUUCCUGAGCUCAACUCGGGCGCUGCUUCUGAAACUGCAGGACUUGAGUGCUGGAGGGGAUAGCGGAAUUCCUAGUGGAGCGGUAAAAUGCGCAGAUAUGAGGAAGAACACCGGUGGCGAAGGCGGCUAGCUGGACAGUAACUGACGCUGAGGCGCGAAAGCGUGGGGAGCAAACAGGAUUAGAUGCCCUGGUAGUCCACGCCGUAAACGAUGAAUACUAGGUGUAGGGGGUAUCGACUCCCUCUGUGCCGCAGUUAACACAAUAAGUAUUCCGCCUGGGGAGUACGGCCGCAAGGUUGAAACUCAAAUGAAUUGGCGGGG